RNAcentral lists this ribosomal RNA (1438 nucleotides) under uncultured organism. RNAcentral's name for it is "SSU rRNA". It matches the Rfam family "Bacterial small subunit ribosomal RNA". The record is from RNAcentral.
CGCUAGCUACAGGCUUAACACAUGCAAGUCGAGGGGCAGCAUGGUCUUAGCUUGCUAAGGCCGAUGGCGACCGGCGCACGGGUGAGUAACACGUAUCCAACCUGCCGUCUACUCUUGGACAGCCUUCUGAAAGGAAGAUUAAUACAAGAUGGCAUCAUGAGUCCGCAUGUUCACAUGAUUAAAGGUAUUCCGGUAGACGAUGGGGAUGCGUUCCAUUAGAUAGUAGGCGGGGUAACGGCCCACCUAGUCUUCGAUGGAUAGGGGUUCUGAGAGGAAGGUCCCCCACAUUGGAACUGAGACACGGUCCAAACUCCUACGGGAGGCAGCAGUGAGGAAUAUUGGUCAAUGGGCGAGAGCCUGAACCAGCCAAGUAGCGUGAAGGAUGACUGCCCUAUGGGUUGUAAACUUCUUUUAUAAAGGAAUAAAGUCGGGUAUGCAUACCCGUUUGCAUGUACUUUAUGAAUAAGGAUCGGCUAACUCCGUGCCAGCAGCCGCGGUAAUACGGAGGAUCCGAGCGUUAUCCGGAUUUAUUGAGUUUAAAGGGAGCGUAGAUGGAUGUUUAAGUCAGUUGUGAAAGUUUGCGGCUCAACCGUAAAAUUGCAGUUGAUACUGGAUAUCUUGAGUGCAGUUGAGGCAGGCGGAAUUCGUGGUGUAGCGGUGAAAUGCUUAGAUAUCACGAAGAACUCCGAUUGCGAAGGCAGCCUGCUAAGCUGCAACUGACAUUGAGGCUCGAAAGUGUGGGUAUCAAACAGGAUUAGAUACCCUGGUAGUCCACACGGUAAACGAUGAAUACUCGCUGUUUGCGAUAUACAGCAAGCGGCCAAGCGAAAGCGUUAAGUAUUCCACCUGGGGAGUACGCCGGCAACGGUGAAACUCAAAGGAAUUGACGGGGGCCCGCACAAGCGGAGGAACAUGUGGUUUAAUUCGAUGAUACGCGAGGAACCUUACCCGGGCUUAAAUUGCAGAUGAAUUACGGUGAAAGCCGUAAGCCGCAAGGCAUCUGUGAAGGUGCUGCAUGGUUGUCGUCAGCUCGUGCCGUGAGGUGUCGGCUUAAGUGCCAUAACGAGCGCAACCCUUGUUGUCAGUUACUAACAGGUUCCGCUGAGGACUCUGACAAGACUGCCAUCGUAAGAUGUGAGGAAGGUGGGGAUGACGUCAAAUCAGCACGGCCCUUACGUCCGGGGCUACACACGUGUUACAAUGGGGGGGUACAGAGGGCCGCUACCACGCGAGUGGAUGCCAAUCCCAAAAACCUCUCUCAGUUCGGACUGGAGUCUGCAACCCGACUCCACGAAGCUGGAUUCGCUAGUAAUCGCGCAUCAGCCACGGCGCGGUGAAUACGUUCCCGGGCCUUGUACACACCGCCCGUCAAGCCAUGGGAGCCGGGGGUACCUGAAGUGCGUAACCGCGAGGAGCGCCCUAGGGUAAAACUGGUGAC